RNAcentral lists this ribosomal RNA (706 nucleotides) under uncultured bacterium. RNAcentral describes it as "partial 16S ribosomal RNA". It matches the Rfam family "Bacterial small subunit ribosomal RNA", at positions 125 to 851 of the family's 1533-position model. The record is from RNAcentral.
CCUGCCCCCUCCCCCGGGAUAGCCGCCCGAAAGGACGGGUAAUACCGGAUACCCCCGGGCGCCGCAUGGCGCCCGGGCUAAAGCCCCGACGGGAGGGGAUGGCUCCGCGGCCCAUCAGGUAGACGGCGGGGUGACGGCCCACCGUGCCGGCAACGGGUAGCCGGGUUGAGAGACCGACCGGCCAGAUUGGGACUGAGACACGGCCCAGACUCCUACGGGAGGCAGCAGUGGGGAAUCUUGCGCAAUGGGGGGAACCCUGACGCAGCGACGCCGCGUGCGGGACGGAGGCCUUCGGGUCGUAAACCGCUUUCAGCAGGGAAGAGUCAAGACUGUACCUGCAGAAGAAGCCCCGGCUAACUACGUGCCAGCAGCCGCGGUAAUACGUAGGGGGCGAGCGUUAUCCGGAUUCAUUGGGCGUAAAGCGCGCGUAGGCGGCCCGGCAGGCCGGGGGUCGAAGCGGGGGGCUCAACCCCCCGAAGCCCCCGGAACCUCCGCGGCUUGGGUCCGGUAGGGGAGGGUGGAACACCCGGUGUAGCGGUGGAAUGCGCAGAUAUCGGGUGGAACACCGGUGGCGAAGGCGGCCCUCUGGGCCGAGACCGACGCUGAGGCGCGAAAGCUGGGGGAGCGAACAGGAUUAGAUACCCUGGUAGUCCCAGCCGUAAACGAUGGACGCUAGGUGUGGGGGGACGAUCUCCCCGUGCCGCAG